This is a non-coding RNA of Sus scrofa (pig), 5159 nucleotides long. Lineage: Eukaryota; Metazoa; Chordata; Mammalia; Artiodactyla; Suidae. The record is from RefSeq and is a predicted model, not a curated record.
GAGAGGCCCCUCAGUAGGCGUGGGAAAGAGUGUCGCGGGGAGAGUUGGGCCAUUCCCGCCCUCCGCCACCAUCUUGCUCUCCUGUAAGGCGGUUGUGACCGCGGGUCCGAGCAAUCUUAAGCCAUGAAGCUUAUAACCAGAGCCGGAUCCUUCUCGAGAUUUUAUUCUCUCAAAGUUGCCCCCAAAGCUUUGGCCAGCGCUGCCCCUGCAGGAGUGCCUCUACAGCCUCAGGACCUUGAGUUUACCAGAUUACCAAAUGGUUUGGUGAUCGCAUCUCUCGAAAACUAUGCUCCUGCAUCAAGAAUUGGUUUGUUCAUUAAAGCAGGCAGUAGAUAUGAGGACUCCAACAAUUUAGGAACCUCUCAUCUGCUUCGUCUUGCAUCCAGUUUGACUACAAAAGGAGCUUCAUCUUUCAAGAUAACCCGUGGAAUCGAAGCAGUUGGUGGUAAAUUAAGUGUGACUUCCACAAGGGAAAGCAUGGCUUACACAGUGGAAUGUCUGCGAGAUGAUAUUGAGAUCCUGAUGGAGUUCCUGCUCAAUGUCACCGCAGCACCAGAAUUUCGUCGCUGGGAGGUAGCUGCCCUGCAGUCUCAGCUAAGGAUUGAUAAAGCUGUGGCUUUUCAGAAUCCACAGGCUCAGGUCCUUGAAAAUUUGCAUGCUGCAGCUUACCGAAAUGCCUUGGCUAAUUCCUUGUACUGUCCUGAUUAUAGGAUUGGAAAAGUGACACCAGAUCAGUUACAUUACUAUGUACAGAACCAUUUCACAAGUGCAAGAAUGGCUUUGAUUGGACUUGGUGUGAGUCAUCCUGUUCUAAAGCAAGUGGCCGAACGGUUUCUCAACAUGAGGGGGGGGCUUGGUUUAUCUGGCGCAAAGGCCAAGUACCGUGGAGGUGAAAUUCGAGACCAGAAUGGAGACAGUCUCGUCCAUGCUGCUCUUGUAGCAGAAAGUGCUGCCACGGGAAGUGCAGAAGCAAAUGCAUUUAGUGUUCUGCAGCAUGUCCUUGGUGCUGGACCACAUGUUAAGAGGGGCAGCAAUGCCACCAGCUCUCUAUACCAGGCUGUCGCCAAGGGAGUUCACCAGCCAUUUGAUGUUUCUGCUUUUAACGCCAGUUACUCAGAUUCUGGACUCUUCGGGAUUUAUACUAUCUCUCAGGCUGCAUCUGCUGGAGAUGUUAUCAAGUCUGCCUAUGACCAAGUAAAAACAAUUGCUCAAGGAAACCUUUCUAAUACAGAUGUCCAAGCUGCCAAGUAAGUUUCAAUAUUAACUGUGUUUCAUCUUUCAAUUAUUUGAAGGUUGUUUUUUCUAGUUACAACACUAUUGUAAUAAAUGCACAAAAGGAUUGAAAGGUACAGAAAAGUAUUUAAAAGAAAAGGAAAAUAGAUUCGUCCCACCUAGAGAUAUCAUUAUUAACAUUUUGAUUAUUAUCUUGACCAUUUUUAUACAUUUUAAACAUAGUUAAUAUUGCAUAUAUACUUAAUAAAUAAUAUUACUGUGUUUAUUGUAGAAAUUUGAAAAUUACAAACACAAAGAAAGAUAAAAAUUAUCUUUCAUUCCCUACCAGUGAUUCUUCUCUUUAACAUGAUAAUGUUUCCAUUUAUUCAGAUCACUAAAAAUUAUGUCAUAAACAGUUUUAAUGGGUGUGUCCAAAUAUACUUGUUGGACAUUUUUCAACAAGAUGGCAAUUGGGGAUUCUAAACAAUUAAUGAUAUCUUCGGGCUUAAAACAUUUUUUCAUUUCUUGUUACUUUUCUUGGUAUAGAUUCACAACUGGGCCAAGAGUUACAAAUACUAUAACGAAAGGUUCUGCGUUAAAAUAUGUAUGUGUGUUUGUACGAUAUUGGUAUAUUUUGGAGUCACCAUGUUACAGGGUUGUACUAGCUUAUAAAUCAUACCAUCAGUGUAGGAGAGUGCCUAUUCCGCCAUAACCAUUGGCGGCGGUUUUUUAUCUCUUCACUGAUUUGGUAGAUCAUAGAUAGCUGAUUAAAAGGUUGCAAUUUCCAUCUCCUGCUGGGUGAUUUUCAAAUUCCCAUUGUCUUCACUGAAAGUGGUAAGAACACCUCGGUAGUUCUGGGAGUUUCUCUAAAAGAGACAGACUCUGGAUAGAGUUGGAAAUCAGCUUGCAUUUUCAUACAGGAGUUAGACCAUUUAAAUUUGACUCCAUCCAUUUCAGUUCAAAAAGUGAAUCCUGAAACUGGCAGUCUUCAUGAUCACUUAUUUAGUGUUGCCCACAAGGAAAGUAUGACAGGGUGAAUUACAACCCAGGAGGGAACAACCUGUUGCCAUUUCUGUUCUCUUUAGUCUCAGUACUUUUAUAAUGCCAAACACACUAAAAAAAAUUGUGUCUGUGAAUGAGUACAACACAGUUUAUUAAAUACCAUAUACGUGAAACCAAGGAUUGAUAAGGAUGCGGCUCUACAUUAUUGCAUCCCAAACAAACAUAAUUGAGACACCGGCUAUGCUUAGGGCAAAUGUAUUUUCUUAAUAACUGUAGCACAGUUGUUGGCAAGUACCUCAAUGUUCAGAAAGUGGAAUUUUGGUUAUUAAUGUCAAGAUAUGUUUAUUUCCUGCCAUUUUGAUGGAGUUGAUGCUUUUUUGUAAGGUUCUUAUUAGUCUUCCUAUAGUGAAAGAGAAAGUGAGCAGUCAUUGCUGAAGGGACAAACUAAUAUAAUCUUUUCGUAAAGUUUAUUGCAGGUAAAGUCUUUUUUCAGUUAAGCUGGCGGUAUGGUAAAAUUGCUACAUCAGAUUAUAAUUAUGCUUAAAUGGAAGUCUUGCUACAGAGUACCAAGAAGAUGGGUUUCUUUGAGAGUUAAAUAACUCAGAUGCCUUACUGCACACCGGUUUCUUUCUGGGAUAAUUGUGAAUUGAAUUGUGUUUUAUUUCAAAUCGGUGCUUUGGUGCCAAUAUUUAAGCUACAGGGACUUAAUAGGACCUAUCUGUCCUUCCCCACCUCCCUCCCCUCAGUGAGACAAAUCCCAGCACAGAAAUGGGCUGGGAGUAGGGAAGUUAGAUUAUCGGCACACAACAUUCUGCUAAGUGGGCAGUGAGAAGAGCCCACAUAGGUAUUUUUAACAGAGAUGCCUAAAAUUAUGACCGAAAAAGUAUCAGGAAGCAGUAAGUUACUUCAGUCAUCAAAACUUCACAUUACAGGAGUUUCCCUUCAUGGCUCAGCAGUUAACAAACCCAACUAGUAUCCAUAAAGUUGUGGGUUCAAUCCCUGGCUCCGCUCAGUGGGUUAAGGAUCUGGUGUUGCCGUGAGCUGUGGUAUAGGUCACAGAUGCAGCCUGGAUCUCAUGAUGCUGUGGCUGUGGCAUCCUCCACAUGUUGCUGGUGCAGCCAUAAAAAAUAAAAUAAAUUAAAUUUUUAAAAAAAUCACAUUACAGGAGUUCCCUUCAUGGCUCAGCGGUUAACAAACCUGACUAGUAUCCAUGAGGAUGCAGGUUCGAUCCCUGGCCUUGCUCAGUGGGUUAAGGAUCCAGUGUUGCCGUGAGCUGUGGUGUACGUUGCAAAUGCGGCUCGGAUCCUGCAAUGCUGUUGGUCUGGUGUAGGCUGGUGGCUGCAGCUCCAAUUUGACCCCUGGCCUGGGAACCUCCAUAUGCCAUGGGUACAGCCCUAAAAAAAACCCAAAAACUUCACACUGCAAUAGUUUUAACUCGAUCUUAAGUUCUAGUCUAAAAUCAAAAGGCCAUCUGUUGGGUUUUCAGUAUAAUCUUAUAAUGACAGCUUUUAAAAUGAUAUCAAUAUUAAAAUAGUUCAUGAACUGAAGAAAUAGAAUGGAGACUUUUGGCACUGUAAAGCUGUUAAUUUUUGUAUUUACCCAAACAUGUUUAAGGGUUUGGGAGAGUACUUUUAAAUUGCCUUGCUCUGUAAAACUGGGUUCUGCCUUAGUUACACGCCUUUUAUUGGACAGGAACAAGCUGAAAGCCGGGUACCUAAUGUCAGUGGAGUCUUCUGAGGGUUUCCUGGAUGAAGUUGGGUCUCAGGCUCUAGUUGCUGGUUCUUACGUGCAGCCAUCCACGGUCCUUCAGCAGAUUGAUUCAGUAGCUGACGCUGAUGUUAUAAACGCUGCAAAGAAGUUUGUUUCUGGCCGGAAGUCAAUGGCAGCAAGCGGAAAUUUGGGUCAUACACCUUUCGUUGAUGAGUUGUAAUAUUGAAACAUGUUGCAGGAAAGAGCUGAACAUUUUCUCAACCCUGAGCAGCAAAUACGUGAAGGUGAAAAGCCUCUAAUGUAACAUUUAUCUUUUUUUCCAAUGAGAUUAAAUAUCGUAAAGCAUAAAUGCAAGUAACUGUUCCCAGCUGACCUAAAGUCAAUAAAACAUUAUAUUUAAAUGUUUUUCUUAGAGUUCCUGUCACUGGUGUGGCUCUGGUUACCACUGUGGCAGGGGUUCGAUCCAUGGCCCGGGAACUUCCAUGUGCUGCAGGCAUAGCCCAAAUAAAUAAAUAAAUAAAUAAAAUUUUCUUACAUUUUUCCUAACCAGUUAUUCAACAAGUUUUUGUUUUAGUUGCUUUAGAGGAGAACAAGAAUAUAAUAAUAAAGUACAGAAGUGUGAGAAACUAUUACAAUUAAGGCUAAAUGGAGUUCCCUUGUGGUGCAGUGGGUUAAGGAUCCAGUGUCACUGCAGUAGCUGGAGUCACUGCUCUGUCACUAUAGAUUCAGUCCCUGGCCUGGGAACUUCCACAUACUGCAGGCAUGGCCAAAAAAAAUAAAAAAUAAAAAAUAAUGGAGUUCCCAUCAUGGCACAGUGGUUAACAAAUCCGACUAGGAACCAUGAGGUUUCGGGUUCGAUCUCUGCCCUUGCUCAGUGGGUUAAGGAUCCGGCACUGCCGUGAGCUGUGGUGUAGGUUGCAGACGCGGCUCAGAUCCUGCAUUGCUGUGGCUCUGGCGUAGGCUGGUGGCUACAGCUCCAAUUCGACCCCUAGCCUGGGAACCUCCAUAUGCCAUGGGUGCAGCCCUAGAAAAGGCAAAAAGACAAAAAAAAAAAAAAAAAAAAUGAAGGCUAAUCGGCUCUCAGAGUAACUAUUUCCAGUUUAUGAUGAUGAUGUAUUAUUAUAAUAGUACAUGUGUUCUAUAUAGUAUUAGUAUUAAUUUAAAACGAUAAAAGCAGUUAAAAACUGUACUCUUGGGUAAGAACAAUUAAAUGGUCUGGGUACGUUUGAUUUACC